RNAcentral lists this ribosomal RNA (542 nucleotides) under uncultured archaeon. RNAcentral's name for it is "bacterial SSU rRNA". It matches the Rfam family "Archaeal small subunit ribosomal RNA", at positions 333 to 875 of the family's 1478-position model. The record is from RNAcentral.
CAGCAGGCGCGAAAACUUUACAAUGCCGGCAACGGCGAUAAGGGAACCUCGAGUGCCAGGUUACAAAUCUGGCUGUCGUGAUGCCUAAAAAGCAUUGCAUAGCAAGGGCCGGGCAAGACCGGUGCCAGCCGCCGCGGUAACACCGGCGGCUCGAGUGGUAACCGUUAUUAUUGGGUCUAAAGGGUCUGUAGCCGGCCGGGUAAGUCUCUUGGGAAAUCUGGCAGCUUAACUGUCAGGCUUUCAGGAGAUACUGCCUGGCUCGAGGCCGGGAGAAGUGAGAGGUACUUCAGGGGUAGGGGUGAAAUCUUGUAAUCCUUGAAGGACCACCAGUGGCGAAGGCGUCUCACCAGAACGGACCUGACGGCAAGGGACGAAAGCUAGGGGCACGAACCGGAUUAGAUACCCGGGUAGUCCUAGCCGUAAACGAUACUCGCUAGGUGUCGGCCACGGUGCGACCGUGGUCGGUGCCGUAGGGAAGCCGUGAAGCGAGCCACCUGGGAAGUACGGCCGCAAGGCUGAAACUUAAAGGAAUUGGCGGGGGA